AGGCAAAUUGUUCUACACGGAGAAAAAACCAAAGAGAAAAAGACUGAUAAAAACCUACCCUUCUCCGGAAGAAGGCAGUGAUUAUGGGUGUUCCCGCCCCUUGUUGAUUCAUCCAUGGCUUUUUGGUUGAAUAUAUACCCAAUAGAUUUUGUUUUGCUUCUGUUCACUUGUCAUCCUACCCUAUUACAUCUGUUUUGUCGGAGGAAAACCCCCUGCUGACAAACAUGGCGGUGCGGCGAUCUCUUUGGCCUUCUAAAUGGAAGAUCGCCUUUGCUGCCACCGCCUUGGGCUGCGGAGCUGCUGCAGCUACAAUUGCUAACUCCGACGAUCCUGCAACCUCUCUCAAGCUCUGCACCGCCGUCCCUGUCCGCCUCUUUCGCCUCUCAGUCACUGCUGCUACCAUUGCCUUCGAUUAUGAGUAUUCACUAAUGGGACUGCCAGAAGAUAGCGAUGAGAGGGUAAGAGUUAAGCAUGAAGUUCACACCAGGAGCGCACGUAGGCUUGAAGAGCUAUGUUUCAAAAAUGGUGGAAUUUAUAUCAAACUUGGUCAACAUGUUGGUCAACUGGACUAUUUGGUACCACUAGAGUAUGCUAAGACAAUGAGGGAGUCAAUGUUGAAUAGAUGCCCAACUUCUACCUAUGAUCAAGUCUGCCAAGUUGUGAAGAAAGAGCUUGGUGGGGCACCUGAAGAGAUAUUUGAGGAGUUCGAUCCUGUUCCAAUUGCAAGUGCUUCCCUUGCACAAGUUCAUGUUGCUCGUACUCAUGAUGGGCAAAAAGUUGCUGUGAAGGUACAGCAUACCCAUAUGACAGAUACUGCAGCUGCUGAUUUUGCCACAGUGGAAGUGAUUGUAAACACUUUGCACCGCUUCUUUCCGUCAUUUGAUUACAGGUGGUUGGUAGAUGAAGUACGUGAAACUUCACCCAAGGAGCUAGAUUUCUUAAAUGAAGCCAAGAACAGCGUACAAUGUAUGGAUAACUUUCGAAGGUUAUCUCCUCAUAUUGCAGACUACAUAUAUGCUCCUACAAUCUAUUGGAGUCUAAGUACCACAAAAGUGUUGACCAUGGAGUUCAUAGAAGGUGCACAAGUGAAUGAUUUAAAGAGCAUCAAAAAACUUGGAAUUCAACCACAUGACAUUUCAAAAUUAGUUAGUCAAACUUUUGCUGAAAUGAUGUUCAAACAUGGAUUUGUGCACUGUGAUCCACAUGCUGCUAACUUGCUAGUUCGUGCUUUGCCUUUGGGUAGAAGUAGCAUUUUUGGAAGACGUAAACCGCAAUUGGUACUCCUUGACCAUGGUCUUUACAAAGAGCUUGACACUUACACAAGGACCAACUAUGCCGCAUUAUGGAAGGCUUUGGUAUUGGCUGAUGUCAGCGCAAUCAAGGAAAAUUGCAUGAAAUUUGGUGCUGGAGAGGAUCUGUAUGCGUUUUUCACUAGCAUUCUUACUAUGAAACCAUGGGAGAGAGUUAUUGAUCCGGCUGUUGAUCAUUUGGCCAUACAUGAUCUAUCAGAACUUCAGAUAUACGGUCCUGAGUAUUUCUCUCAGGUCACAGAGCUUCUGCGUAGACUGCCUCGUGUUAUACUUCUAAUGAUGAAAACAAAUGAUUGCUUACGUUCAGUCGACAAUGCAUUGUUGCAAAGACCUUCUCUCGGGUCGUUCUUGAUCAUCGGCAGAGUUUCAUCUGAGGCAGUUAUGAAGGAGAAGUUAUCACAUGUCAAGUCCUUAUUUAGCUUGAUAAGUAUAUGGUUGGAAGAGAUCUCACUAGAAGCUCGGUUCUUAAUAAUGCAAGUAGCCUUGUGGGUCCUACAAUUCCGGAAAUCUUUGAGCUUGUGAAGGGAACAUCAUAUACUAAAAACUCCUAGAGGCUUUGAUACAUAGAAGAAAGUAUUUGGGGGGCUUACUUUACCUAAUCCAGCUAAUCAGAUGAAUGAGGUAACGUUAAUAAAUAUGAUUUCAUCCUAUAAAUUACCAGUUAGAGUUGCAUCUUGUAGAAAUGUAUGUCCAAUUUGUACGAAAUGCACAGUGAGAUACUUGCUACUCCAUUGCCAAGGGUGUCAUUGUACUGCUAUAUUGUCAUGGUUCAAUACUUCACUAGAAGCAGGAAAAAGGCUCUAAUACCAUUUGGGUGGUAGUAUUACUAUGUUUAUAUCUUUAGUGUUACUUGAAGCAUAUUAUCAAUAUGGUCCAUAUUCGUAUUU
RNA transcript from Cynara cardunculus var. scolymus (artichoke), 2197 nucleotides. It is a transcript of the gene named putative ABC1 protein At2g40090, with no coding region annotated. The record is from RefSeq and is a predicted model, not a curated record. The transcript has 13 exons. Lineage: Eukaryota; Viridiplantae; Streptophyta; Magnoliopsida; Asterales; Asteraceae.